This 1314-nucleotide long non-coding RNA is filed under the name Lonchura striata (white-rumped munia). Its description in RNAcentral is "domestica (Bengalese finch) lncRNA (ENSLSDG00000005610.1)". The record is from RNAcentral. Lineage: Eukaryota; Metazoa; Chordata; Aves; Passeriformes; Estrildidae.
GUGAGGAGGAGGCGGGAGCGCUGUGAGGGGGAGGGUGGGGAGCUCCUGAAUCCUGAAAUCCAUGAGGGAUGGGAGCCCCUGAAUCCUAAAAUUCAGGAGGCUAGGGAGACCCUGAAUCCUAAAGUUCAAAAAUGUGGGGAGCCCCUAAAACCUGAAAUCCAUGAGGGAUGGGAGCCCCUGAAUCCUAAAAUUCAGGAGGCUAGGGAGACCCUGAAUCCUAAAGUUCAAAAAUGUGGGGAGCCCCUAAAAUCUAAAAUCCAUGAGGGAUGGGAGCCCCUGAAUCCUAAAAUUCAGGAGGCUAGGGAGACCCUGAAUCCUAAAAUCCAUGAGGGAUGGGAACCUCUAAAUCCUAAAAUUCAGGAGGCUGGGGAGACCCUGAAUCCUAAAGUUCAAAAAUGUGGGGAGCCCCUGAAUCCUAAAGUUCAGGAAUGUGGGGAGCCCCUAAAUCCUAAAAUUCAUGAGGGAUGGGAGCCCCUAAAAUCUAAAACCCAUGAGGGAUGGGAGCCCCUGAAUCCUAAAAUUCAGGAGGUUGGGGAGACCCUGAAUCCUAAAAUUCAUGAGGGAUGGGAUCCUCUAAAUCCUAAAAUUCAGGAGGCUGGGGAGCCCCUGAUUCCUAAAGUUCAGGAGAGAGGGGAGCCCCUAAAAUCUAAAAUUCAUGAGGGAUGGGAUCCUCUAAAUCCUAAAAUCCAGGAGAGUGGGGAGCCCCUAAAAUCUAAAAUCCAUGAGGGAUGGGAGCCUCUAAAUCCUAAAAUUCAGGAAUAUGGGGAGCCUCUGAACCCUAAAAUCCAUGAGGGAUGGGAUCCUAUAAAUCCUAAAACCCCUGAGGGAUUGGACCCCUCGAACCCCAAAUUUCAGGAGGGCGGGGAGCCCCAAAAUCCCCAAAUUUCUGAGGGAUGGAACCCCAAAAGUGAUGCUGGGGAGCUGAGGAAGAGGAGGGACCCCGAGGGCCGGGCUGGGGAUGAACCCCAAGAGCCAAAUUUGGGGUGAGGAUGAGGAGGCAGCACCCCAAAACUCUGUGGGGGGGGGGGGAGGAACCCCAGUGGAAAAUGGGAGAAAAAACGCCCUGAACCCCCAAAAUCCAAAAUUGGAAAUUGGGAUCGGGGGGACCCCCGGGUGAGGAAGAGGAGGGACCCCAAAAAUGAGAAUUUAGGGGGUUCUCACCCCCCCUGAACCCCAAUAAUCAGGAAUGGGGAGGAUUGGGGGGCUGUGGGCACCCCCUGGGGGUUUUUUUAGGGGUGUGGGGCUGUUUUUGGAAAGAGCCCCCCUAAAAUUGAGACCAAUAAAAGCUUUGAGUGACGCUCCGGGUGUGUUUGG